RNAcentral lists this ribosomal RNA (448 nucleotides) under uncultured bacterium. RNAcentral's name for it is "SSU rRNA". It matches the Rfam family "Bacterial small subunit ribosomal RNA", at positions 26 to 518 of the family's 1533-position model. The record is from RNAcentral.
AGAGCGAACGCUGGCGGCAGGCUUAACACAUGCAAGUCGAGCGGGCGUAGCAAUACGUCAACGGCAGACGGGUGAGUAACGCGUGGGAACGUACCUUUUGGUUCGGAACAACCCAGGGAAACUUGGGCUAAUACCGGAUAAGCCCUUACGGGGAAAGAUUUAUCGCCGAAAGAUCGGCCCGCGUCUGAUUAGCUAGUUGGUGAGGUAAUGGCUCACCAAGGCGACGAUCAGUAGCUGGUCUGAGAGGAUGAUCAGCCACAUUGGGACUGAGACACGGCCCAAACUCCUACGGGAGGCAGCAGUGGGGAAUAUUGGACAAUGGGCGCAAGCCUGAUCCAGCCAUGCCGCGUGAGUGAUGAAGGCCCUAGGGUUGUAAAGCUCUUUUGUGCGGGAAGAUAAUGACGGUACCGCAAGAAUAAGCCCCGGCUAACUUCGUGCCAGCAGCCGC